UGUAGGAGCGGGCUUGCUCGCGAACGCGUCGUGUCAGUUGAUACAGGUGUGACUGACACACCGCUUUCGCGAGCAAGCCCGCUCCCACA
Molecule: unclassified non-coding RNA, 89 nt
Filed under: Pseudomonas antarctica
Lineage: Bacteria; Pseudomonadati; Pseudomonadota; Gammaproteobacteria; Pseudomonadales; Pseudomonadaceae
Source: RNAcentral